This 113-nucleotide non-coding RNA is filed under the name Gemella haemolysans. Its description in RNAcentral is "FMN sequence". It matches the Rfam family "FMN riboswitch aptamer (RFN element)". Rfam says of the family: The RFN element is a highly conserved domain that is found frequently in the 5'-untranslated regions of prokaryotic mRNAs that encode for flavin mononucleotide (FMN) biosynthesis and transport proteins. This element is a metabolite-dependent riboswitch that directly binds FMN in the absence of proteins. Lineage: Bacteria; Bacillati; Bacillota; Bacilli; Caryophanales; Gemellaceae. The record is from RNAcentral.
AAUUAUCUUCGGGGCAGGGUGAAAUUCCCGACCGGCGGUCAAAGUCCGCGAGCGCAAGCAGAUUUGGUGAAACUCCAAAACCGACAGUACAGUCUGGAUGAUAGAAGAUAUAG